Molecule: RNA transcript, 4474 nt
Organism: Labeo rohita (rohu)
Lineage: Eukaryota; Metazoa; Chordata; Actinopteri; Cypriniformes; Cyprinidae
Exons: 3
Source: RefSeq, a predicted model, not a curated record
CCCACCUCUCUCUCGCUCUGUUUCUGGCUCAUGUUAGAUCCUGUCUGCUUCAGCAACGUCCGAAACCCCACCUCCUCCUGUCUCUCUCUCCCUCUCUCUCCACCCCGUCUCAGGCGGCGUGGAAUCCUGGCUGUGUUUAAUUGCUGAGUGGCAAGAUCUGAGGGAGAGAUCGGGAGCCGCUGCGUCUGUCAACGCUUUACGAGCCCCAACCCCGGGAGAGACAGACAGGGAAGGUGUAGGAAGGAAGUGUUUGGAGUUUGGUAACGCGUGAGUUGGGGAAUUUUUACGCAGUGGGGAGGUGAAGAAAGAGGUGAAACGCUGAAGUAAGACUUCAGAGUUGGAGGAAAAAAAGAGGGAGGGAAAGAAAAGAGGCCCACCGUUGGAGAAAGGGCAACGAGAGGGAAAAGUGGGAAAACAAGAGUAAGUUCGAAAAAGGAGGAAGGAAGGAAGGGGGAGGUGAGCGAAAAGUUAGAGAGGGAGAGAGAGAGCGACAGUCCAACGCAGUGAACGAGAGCAGACGCAGAUGAGAAAAACAGACGCCGUGGAUGGCCUGGGUGGAGAGAGAACCAGUUGUUUUCUAAGUCGCCUUUCAGACUGGAAUGCACUCGGAGAAUUCGAGAUUCCCGACGCCUUACUGCCAACUUUGCUUGCGACGCACGCUGGGCCCCGCCGACGGACCAUGCCCGCGUAUGGAGUCUGGCGUAGCCCCGUUCCCCAAGGAGCUGGGGACGGAGCGAGCCGAGAGGAUCGGAACGUCUCCGGCACAGCCGGUUUCCUCCGAGGAGAUCCGGCAUCCGUGCCACAGGUGGGACUCGCCGUGCGUUCGGGAGAUCCGACGAGAGUGCGGAUGCAUCCAGCGGUGGUACUAUCCGGAGUUAAUGCAUCCAUUCAACGCCGACCGUGUUUUGAAGGUCAGAGGUCAUCGCUGCUACUCAUCCUAUGUUCAGGAACGGGACAACGUUUGUCAGCCUGAAUAUAACGGACAUUGCGAAAGGAGACGCGUCUCCUUUCGCCAUCACGAGGAACGAUCCGAGCACUGUAACGGGAUGAGCUCUGGACAGCAGGCGGCUUUUUUCCCGACCGAGGUGCCCUCUAGCAAGCUGGGACGCUCCAGGUCACUGCAGGUGAACGGGACGCAGGCGGACGUAAGGACGUCUCGGGGAGACGCGGGUUUGGAGAAACACGGCAAGCGGAGGAACAGCCAGGGAACAGUACGGGAACAGAUCAAACAAGUGGUCACGGAGCUCGAGGAAGUGCUGGGUGGUCUCAAACAGGUCCAGUUGGAGAUGAAAGAGGUCGUCCAACAGAUCGACAUUCUGACGUCCAACAUUGACCUUGGUGAAGACGAACCAAGUUUAUCCAACGGACUCUCCCAAGAUGCCACCAAAAGCAGUCGGACUGGUGUUGUGGCACUGAUCCACAAUUCGAACAGCGAAGAGGACGUUACAACUUCCAAUUCCUCUCUCAUAAACAGCCCCGUCACUGUGGAUUUAGCUCGCAUUAACGGCCCUUCGCCGACGAGAACCCGCACAAGCCCGUCCCCUCCUGAGCAACGAUCCGUUACUGUUGAGGAUAAAGGCAAACGAGUUGUGAAACAGAGCUCAGAGACUCAAAGGACUCCAAGGACGGCCAAUGGAAACUGCUUACCGCAUCGAACGGCAAGAAAAGGGCAACUGGAAAACCACAAACCCCCUGUAGCUCCUGUAGUGUGCACUAACUCAAAUAAAACCCACCGGCCUCCACCUUACCCUCAGAACGGACAGGUGAAGAUGAGGACGCCACCCUAUGCUGGAAAACAUAAGAUGCUCUCCUCCACCGUAGUGUAAGGACACAAAACUCGCUUUCAUCAUCAGCAAAGAGGACAACACACGCAAACACAGCACGCAUACUCACAGAUACAUUGCACACAUGCUUAAUCGAUUACCAAGUAACUCGUCCAAAUGUUUCUCAGGGGACUGAUGCCACACAACCCAGCUGACUCACACCGGAGGACAGAGAAUCCCAGGCCGAGGGGCAGUGACUGUAUUUCCCAUGGAAAACUCCAGAGCAUCUCAAAGCCCUCUUUCUCUCUCACACCCUGCUGAAAAAAAAUAGUUUGGACCAACUUAAAGUCACCAUGAAAUGUCAAUCACAGCUCAGUUUGCUUAUAUAACCUGACGUAUUUCUGAUUGAAAUUCAGAGAGGAAAUUGUGAGUCAUGUCGGAGGGGGCGGGGUCAAAAAGCAAUAGGGAUUUGUGAUGUCAGCUGUAAAGGAAAGUCGUUUCAGAGGCGGAGCAAGUUGCUGAAGGAUUUUGAAAACGAGCAUUUAGAAAAAAAUAGGAAUAAUGUGCAUCAAGGAAUUUUAAACAAAUAGGAAAGUGUAUUAAGAAAGUAAACAAAGUCAGUUGGAGUUCAAGGGAAAACAACAUCCAAAUUUGAGUUUGGUGACCAUGUAAAAGUUGAGCUUUUCUUAGGUAAAUAUAUGCAUUUUAAUGUACCGCCUUUUUUUCUCCAGGAAAUUGGUCCAAAAUAUUGGCUCUAAAGCAACAUUCUAAAAACCACUCAGAACACCACAGCAACCACAUAGCAACAUUCUAAAAAGCCACUCACAAUGUAACACCUUAGCAACCACAAAGCAACAUUCUAAAAAAAAAAAACACUCAGAACACCAUAGCAACAUUCUAAAACGCCACUCACAAUGUAACACCUUAGCAACUGCAUUCCAAAACUCACGUUUUUAAAGUUAAAUUAUUAAAUGUUUUGCCCAGUAAAAUGAUCUCUAGAAUGAAAACAGCCCUAAUCCUAAAUUCUAAACAGCACGUGCCUCUGUAACCAGCAAUAGCAAGUUGCAAAUGACGUCUUUGUGUUUUGUCUGUUUUUAUUUAUUUAUUUCCUUUUCUAAGCAGUUAGUAGGAAGUGACUGGAAUUUAUUCAUUUUUAAAGUGUUUAAAAAUGGCUGUGACAUAAACUAAAGACUGUUGGGUGUUUUAUAAAAGGGAUCUAGUACCUAUUUUAAUAAGAAAUACGUCAAACUAAGCUCAUCAAACCAUUUCAUGGGACUUUAACUGGUUUCGAUAGACGCUGCUGGUGUGUUACAGGCACAAGCGGGUAAAACAGGUUGUUUUUUAAGGUAAACCAGUGUAAUAGGAUUUAAAAAUGUCUUAAAACAUACAUUAUACUUGUUAUUUAGGCUGACUGAACUAGAUUAGCUGGUUAUUUCAGCAGGGUCUCUCUGCACUGUGUAAACCUUUUGGAACAAGCUGUCCUUCUUAACUAACCUGUGACCUGAUAUUUGCGUGUUUCUCCUUUAAAGGAGCACAACCGAGGAAUAAGCUGCUUUAGAUUGGAAAUGUACGACUUUAUAACAGGGCCUUGAGCUCUCAGAUAUAUGCAAACUGUUGCCAGCGCUCGCGUAGAUCUGAAAGGCUGUGACUACCCAGCUAACGAAAAUACACUCUAAGAAUAUAUUUCUUGCUAACCAGUUUUAGGGGAAGUUACUUUGAAAAGUAAUGCAUUACAUUAUUGCCUUACUACAUAAAAAAGUAGGUAAUUGCAUUACUUAGCUACUUUUUAUGGAACGUAGGCUAAUGCAGUGAUACUUUUGUGUUACUUUUUGUCACCUGGGCAGGGCUUAUUUGAUUUUUAAUAACAAAAAAGUAACUUGCUUUACUUAUUUAAAAAAGUAUAUCAAAUAUUUCAUUUUAAAGUAAUGUUUUAAAGUAGUUUUAAAGUUUACUUUAUUAGUUACUUGAAAAAGUAAUCUGAUUAUUUGUAAUGCAUUAUCCCAGAGUACUAUUUCAAUGUAUAAACCAUUUAAUUAUGCGAAUGUUACAUUGAAACAUUCCAUUUUAGAAUUUUGAAUGUUUUCUGAACAUUCCGAGACAAACAGUAACAUUUAAAACACACUACAAGUACAUCCAAAUAAGAUGUUUCAGAAAUAAAUGAGUAAAAACCAUAUAACAUUACUGGACAAACGUUUGUUCGUAACUUUGAAAGAACCUUAUCACAACAUUCCUUGUUAGCUGGGUAGUCAUUUGAAAUGCCUAAAAAGAGGAAGUGUUUUCGUAAUAUUUGUAUUACUGCUAUUAUUAUACAGACCAAAGAUUGAAAUGAUUUUUGUUCAGGGAGGCUGAAGGAUCUAUAAUUAUGUUAAGCUAAGCUAAUGAACAUUAACAUUGCCUCAAAGGCAGCUCGUAAAACCACUUUAGAAAGGUAUACAGCUAAUAUCUGCUAGAAACAGAGUUUAUACUCCUGGAUUAAAGUGGAGGGAUCUUAACACAGUAUUGCAGCUGUGGACUGGAAUUAUUUAAUCAGUAUUUAAAGCCAGUAUAAGCCAUCUUUAUAGACUGUUGCAAUCAUGUAGUGGCAUUUUCACUCUGUGGCCAAUAGAGGGCGCUUCAGACCACAGAACGACAGAAAGGUGACGCCAAUGACACGUGAAUGUCUUAUAAAUGUGUACAGCUCACAUGAAAUAAAACAUUAAGUGUUUAAAUUA